CGGGGUAUAGCGUAACCCAGUUUCUCGUCCCGAUUGCGAUCGGGAAGGUCGUAGGUUCAAAUCCUGCCUCCCCGA
This 75-nucleotide transfer RNA is filed under the name Algoriphagus sp. A40. RNAcentral's name for it is "tRNA-OTHER". The record is from RNAcentral. Lineage: Bacteria; Pseudomonadati; Bacteroidota; Cytophagia; Cytophagales; Cyclobacteriaceae.